AUUGAACGCUGGCGGCAUGCUUUACACAUGCAAGUCGAACGGUAACAGGCCGCAAGGUGCUGACGAGUGGCGAACGGGUGAGUAAUGCAUCGGAACGUGCCCAGUCGUGGGGGAUAACUACUCGAAAGAGUAGCUAAUACCGCAUACGAUCUAUGGAUGAAAGCGGGGGACCGUAAGGCCUCGCGCGAUUGGAGCGGCCGAUGUCAGGUUAGGUAGUUGGUGGGGUAAAGGCUCACCAAGCCAACGAUCUGUAGCUGGUCUGAGAGGACGACCAGCCACACUGGGACUGAGACACGGCCCAGACUCCUACGGGAGGCAGCAGUGGGGAAUUUUGGACAAUGGGCGCAAGCCUGAUCCAGCAAUGCCGCGUGCAGGAAGAAGGCCUUCGGGUUGUAAACUGCUUUUGUACGGAACGAAACGGCUCUGGUUAAUACCCGGGGCUAAUGACGGUACCGUAAGAAUAAGCACCGGCUAACUACGUG
Molecule: ribosomal RNA, 482 nt
Filed under: uncultured bacterium
Lineage: Bacteria
Description: partial 16S ribosomal RNA
Rfam family: Bacterial small subunit ribosomal RNA
Source: RNAcentral